CGUAGGCGCGAGCGUUGUCCGGAAUUAUUGGGCGUAAAGGGCUCGUAGGCGGCUGGUCGCGUCUGUCGUGAAACCCUCGGCUUAACCGGGGCUUGCGGUGGGUACGGGCCGGCUUGAGCGCGGCAGGGGAGACUGGAAUUCCUGGUGUAGCGGUGGAAUGCGCAGAUAUCAGGAGGAACACCGGUGGCGAAGGCGGGUCUCUGGGCCGUUACUGACGCUGAGGAGCGAAGCGUGGGGAGCGAACAGGAUU
Molecule: ribosomal RNA, 250 nt
Filed under: uncultured bacterium
Lineage: Bacteria
Description: partial 16S ribosomal RNA
Rfam family: Bacterial small subunit ribosomal RNA
Source: RNAcentral